Molecule: small nucleolar RNA, 87 nt
Organism: Impatiens glandulifera
Lineage: Eukaryota; Viridiplantae; Streptophyta; Magnoliopsida; Ericales; Balsaminaceae
Product: small nucleolar RNA snoR31/Z110/Z27
Exons: 1
Source: RefSeq, a predicted model, not a curated record
AACGAUGAUGAAAUGAUUAAAUCUUAGGACACCUUCUGACACAGUCGCCCAAACUGUGCAUGAGAAAUGAUUUUAGUUUCUGAUGUU